GACGAACGCUGGCGGCGUGCCUAAUACAUGCAAGUAGAACGCUGAAGAGAGGAGCUUACUCUUCUUGGAUGAGUUGCGAACGGGUGAGUAACGCGUAGGUAACCUGCCUUGUAGCGGGGGAUAACUAUUGGAAACGAUAGCUAAUACCGCAUAACAAUGGAUGACACAUGUCAUUUAUUUGAAAGGGGCGAUUGCUCCACUACAAGAUGGACCUGCGUUGUAUUAGCUAGUAGGUGAGGUAAUGGCUCACCUAGGCGACGAUACAUAGCCGACCUGAGAGGGUGAUCGGCCACACUGGGACUGAGACACGGCCCAGACUCCUACGGGAGGCAGCAGUAGGGAAUCUUCGGCAAUGGGGGCAACCCUGACCGAGCAACGCCGCGUGAGUGAAGAAGGUUUUCGGAUCGUAAAGCUCUGUUGUAAGUCAAGAACAGGUGUGAGAGUGGAAAGUUCACACUGUGACGGUAGCUUACCAGAAAGGGACGGCUAACUACGUG
Molecule: ribosomal RNA, 497 nt
Filed under: uncultured bacterium
Lineage: Bacteria
Description: partial 16S ribosomal RNA
Rfam family: Bacterial small subunit ribosomal RNA
Source: RNAcentral